UACGUACCGUCCAAACGUUAUUCGGAAUCACUGGGCUUAAAGAGUUCGUAGGCGGCUCAGAAAGUUGGGUGUGAAAUCCCUCGGCUCAACCGAGGAAUUGCGCUCAAAACUACUGGGCUAGAGGGAGAUAGAGGUGAGCGGAACUGAUGGUGGAGCGGUGAAAUGCGUUGAUAUCGGAAGGAACGCCAGAGGCGAAAGCGACACACUGGGUCUCAACUGACGCUGAGGCACGAAAGCCAGGGGAGCAAACGGG
RNAcentral lists this ribosomal RNA (253 nucleotides) under uncultured bacterium. RNAcentral's name for it is "partial 16S ribosomal RNA". It matches the Rfam family "Bacterial small subunit ribosomal RNA", at positions 524 to 776 of the family's 1533-position model. The record is from RNAcentral.